RNAcentral lists this ribosomal RNA (391 nucleotides) under uncultured eukaryote. Its description in RNAcentral is "SSU rRNA". It matches the Rfam family "Eukaryotic small subunit ribosomal RNA", at positions 587 to 972 of the family's 1831-position model. The record is from RNAcentral.
AGCUCCAAUAGCGUAUAUUAAAGUUGUUGCGGUUAAAAAGCUCGUAGUUGGAUCUCGGCGGGCAGGGCGCGGUUCGGUGCUAGCCGCUACUGCGCUUGUGUUGCCCGCGACUUGCGUCCGGAGGCCGGCGGGUGCUCUUAACCGAGUGUCCGCCCGGCGCCGGCGGGUUUACUUUGAAAAAAUUAGAGUGCUCAAAGCAGGCCUUGACACGCCUGGAUAUUCGUGCAUGGAAUAAUGGAAUAGGACGUCGUUUCUAUUUUGUUGGUUUUCGGAGAUCGACGUAAUGAUUAACAGGGACGGUCGGGGGCAUUGGUAUUCAGGCGCCAGAGGUGAAAUUCUUAGACCGCCUGAAGACCAACUACUGCGAAAGCAUUUGCCAAGAAUGUUUUCA